Molecule: long non-coding RNA, 1840 nt
Organism: Cimex lectularius (bed bug)
Lineage: Eukaryota; Metazoa; Arthropoda; Insecta; Hemiptera; Cimicidae
Exons: 2
Source: RefSeq, a predicted model, not a curated record
UUAUGACCUUAAAAUAGGUCGAAAGCUUGUCAAUUGCAAUUUGUUUUUUCAGCCAGACCAAACUGGCUGAACCAGGAAAAUUAAUAGUAAUUUUAUCUUCUUAAACGUUGUGAAUUUUUCGGAGAUCCAUUUGAAACAGCGUUUGAAACAGCCGAGGGUAGACUUUUCUCAGCCGACUUUUCGAGUUCAUCGCAAUUAGAAUUAUGACGGUAAACAAACUAAUCUAACCGUUUGGACCGGAUUACAGUAAGCCGUUGUGUGUUAUUUAAAGUUCAGGUCGAGUUUUUAUCCAGUGAAAUAUAAACGGGUUCCGUGAAGAGGGUUAACCACGAAAUUCCGUGAUCAUGAACAUGUAAGGGCGUUGUUUAGCUCAAUAAAGGGAUGUGAACGCCGACUAAAGCCGAGAAAAUUUUCCCAUUUUAAUUAUUUCUAACUUUCUUCCGCCUUCUCGGCCGUCACUUAUAAUGAAUAUUUGAUUUCAAAUAGCUGUUUCGUCUAUAUCUAUUAUUGCAUAAUCGAACUGGGCUGUCCGAGAUCGUCGCGAUAACCUCUGUUAACGCUUUUUUACUUCUGCUGGCUUACCUAAGCAACAGAAAAAAUAUGGCUUUGACCAGUGCCAAUUCACGUUCAAUAUAUGAACGGUUAGAUCACUCUAGCUUUAAAUACGUUAAUGUAAUUUUUUUAUUUUUUUAUUAGAGAGACAGAAGCUAUCAGCUCUUCUGGCAUUGCCUUAUGAAUACUUGUGUUGAAAUUACAUUUACUCCAACGUUGAACUGAAGAAUUGAAUUGGAUUCUGAAAAUUAUGAAUAGAAGACGAUGUUAGCUACAUCAUUUUCUUUUUUAAAUGUUUAGCUCAAUAUUUUUGUUUUUGAUAAACAAAGAAAAACAAUUAAUUUUUUUAAAAGUAAAGUUACUUAUUUAACCAAUUAUUUUGACUUUUCGGGAAUUUACAACCAUCAUAGGCAUCUACAUUUUUAAACGACACCUGGAUCAAUCAAUAAGGAUACGAAACCAUCCAGGCUUUGAACCAGUUUUUACCAACGCAAUACACGAAAUGUGAUAUUCAACCAGGACAUCCAAUUAUUCCAGGUACGAUUCAAUCGAUUCUAUUACGAUGUCAUUUACAUUAGCAGUAAAUUUGGGCGGUGAACUAUUCACUAAAAAUACUUUAUAAAUAAAGACAGCAUAUCACCUCGCCAAUUUUAAAGAUAAUUAGACAGACAAAAUAGUAUAUUCAUUAACGUAACCUUCGCGGUUUCGCAUAUUGUCUGACAAGUGAAGAAUAUUAAAUGGUGCAUAAAUUAUACAUUGCAGAGCUGUGCAAUGCCAACUAUUUAAAUCGCAGAUAGCCUGCAAUUUGUGUCAGACUUUUUUUUUCUUUGACGAGUUCGAGUAAAAAAUUAUCGCUUUGUAGGAUUUCAACGGUAUUCAAUCAUGUAGAUAGAAGAAAAACUCAUUUCUUUUAUAAUAAGACACGCGUUUAAUGUAUCGAUAAUAGACAGAAAAAACUCUAUAAAACUUGUUAGAUGCAAUUUAGCAAAUUGCAGUGAAAACCACAAAUGCUUUUGAACAAUAAUUCAUUCAUAUCUACUUGGAUUAAAACAGGUUGAGACCUGAACGAAGGCCGCUGAUAUGUCAAUGUCCGAUGCCUAUCAUCCGUCCUACUUUAGAAUCGUCUCGUAAUUUUACAAUUUCACCAAAGAUUGAAUUUCCGCAAUGCUUUAGGAUUGGGAACGUAGUCGAUUAUUACGUGUAGUACGUAUUUUUCAAAAAAACAAUUUCAGUCGUUAUCGUUUCACUAAAUUGAUCGAUUCGAGGAAAAUUGCAUAUUUACUUUUUG